CCCGCGUCUGAUUAGCUAGUUGGUAAGGUAACGGCUUACCAAGGCGACGAUCAGUAGCCGACCUGAGAGGUUGAUCGGCCGCAUUGGGACUGAGACACGGCCCAGACUCCUACGGGAGGCAGCAGUGGGGAAUAUUGCGCAAUGGGGGAAACCCUGACGCAGCAACGCCGCGUGCAGGAAGAAGGUCUUCGGAUUGUAAACUGUUGUCGCGAGGGAAGAAGAAAGUGACGGUACCUCGUGAGAAAGUCACGGCUAACUAC
This 260-nucleotide ribosomal RNA is filed under the name uncultured bacterium. RNAcentral describes it as "partial 16S ribosomal RNA". It matches the Rfam family "Bacterial small subunit ribosomal RNA", at positions 230 to 504 of the family's 1533-position model. The record is from RNAcentral.